Molecule: ribosomal RNA, 194 nt
Filed under: uncultured bacterium
Lineage: Bacteria
Also listed under: 2 other names
Description: partial 16S ribosomal RNA
Rfam family: Bacterial small subunit ribosomal RNA
Source: RNAcentral
CCUACGGGAGGCAGCAGUAGGGAAUCUUCCGCAAUGGACGAAAGUCUGACGGAGCAACGCCGCGUGAGUGAUGAAGGCUUUCGGGUCGUAAAACUCUGUUGUUAGGGAAGAACAAGUACGAGAGUAACUGCUCGUACCUUGACGGUACCUAACCAGAAAGCCACGGCUAACUACGUGCCAGCAGCCGCGGUAAU